This is a long non-coding RNA of Homo sapiens (human), 5592 nucleotides long. RefSeq lists it as uncharacterized. NCBI's taxonomy places the organism in Eukaryota, Metazoa, Chordata, Mammalia, Primates, Hominidae. The transcript is spliced from 12 exons. The record is from RefSeq and is a predicted model, not a curated record.
GCGCCGAGGGGGUAGGGGCGACGGGGACGGAGGCGGGGUAGGGGCAGCCUUUUCCCAGGCGGUAGCGGGGGCGGUGGUUCUGUUGUCCUGUUGCCCUUUUAAGCUGCGGCUUGACAGGGGCCGCGCCUCCUGUCGGUGGAGUCGGCUACAAAGGGAGCAGCCCCCCAGGCCGCCACACAGCUCCCGCCAAGACCUGGUGCCCCUUGCCAUUUUCCAGCCGCGCUCCCAGGAGAGUGGAGGCUGCAGGAAGAGGCGGGUCUUUAGGCUCACAAGAGCUCGGCCAGGCGGCCCCGCGGGGUGGUCGUGGCCAUGACAGCGGCUCCAGACGGCUCCCCUUCCACGCCCUUCCCGCCGGAGAUGAGGGGAAGAUGUCUGUGUCAAGAUUCAAGGCCAAACUGAAGUUGCUGGCGUCUAUCUUCCACGAGAACCAGGAGGCUCAGCUGCGGCUCACGCUCCACUGCAACAUGAGAAUGGGACAACAGAAGAAGUGACUUCAGAGGAAGAGGAAGAAGAGGAGAUGGCUGAACAGCCGAAUUCUCUUAAGUGGAGGGAUCGCAUAGGUGUCCUGGAGCUCCACCAUGAUUCAACCAAGAUGGUGUCCUGGGUAUGGUGGAAGAAGAUGUUCUCUGGGAUGCAGACAUUUCCCUGAACAAGUCCAUCACAGAGAGCAGGAGAGUCUGGCCUCUUCAGAUGUGAGCCAUCAUUAAGUUCAAAUUCACUCCACCAUCCAUGCAAACUGUGAGAGCUGCUCCAUGGUGCCCAAAUCAGCACAUUCAGCUAGAAUCUCUUGUCACUGGAGAAGCUGUCUGAUUCUCUGAACAUGACGCAAGCCUUGCUGUCACCACCACCGUGAAGGUCAGAUACAGCACCCAAGGUACUUGCUGCAAUAGGCCUUUCUUCCCCUGCAACUGAGGUGAUAAUUGAAUCAUAAUACCACUGCACGCCUUGGGUUAUAGGAAUCCCGUUUCCCACUCAGCAUUGCAUUCAAGACAAAGGACAUACCAAGUCAACCCUAACAUCUCACAUCAGAUGUUCAUAAACGGCUCACAUUUUCUGUACUUUAUGCAUAUUUUUUUACUCAUAAAAGAGUCAAGGGGAAACAGCUUUGAAGAAGGAGCCCAAAUGAUAUUAGCGUUCAUACUUAUUUUUAGACUUCAAAAAGAUAGGUAUCUAAACACUACUUACUGGAUAAAUGUAAGGGUGUAUUUUAGCCAUUGUAGAUUUCCUAACAGUAAUUAUUAACUAUACAACCAUACGAACUCAUUAUUAAGUACUUAGUGUGCUUUUGACAUCAGCUCCAUCUCGAUUUCUUUGAAUUGCAUGAGCUGUUUUGUAGGACAGUACACAUCUGUCCUGGAAGUGUCCCAGAGAGCCAGCAAACCCCUCACCUGCUGGACUGUGGCUGUGUUGGGAACCUGUCUACGUUUAAAACUCCAAUGCUUUGACUGAGUGGUAUUGGCUGGAUAAAAUCUGUGGUCUUUGUGAGCUCUACAAGGGCAAAGCUGGUUAACUUGUUCAUUUCAAAGGAGUAAUCUUAAUAUUGUUAAUGUGGCUUGUGGCAUCAAGGUUAUUAGAAUUUAAGGACUUAAUAGAUUUCUCCAUCUACUACAUCAAUGGUAAUUGUAGAAAUUAGCUAAAAUGCACUACUGCUUAAAUGCAAUGGAAAAAUAUUUCUUUCUUCCUUUCAAGACUUUAAGAGGUCUGAAAUGUUUCUGUCCAGGCCCUUGCGCCUCUGCCACCGCUGUGAGAAGUACAUAUCCUGGCCAGCCUGCUGACUCAGGAGGUUGAGAAUCAGGUGCAGCAGACCAGAGCACUGCUUCAGUGUCAGGGUAGAGCUGCUCCAUGACCCAGAGAUUCAUACGAGCCAUCCCACCACACUCGUCCCACCUGGCUUGUGUCAAUGUUCCAUUACUGUUCACCGGCUGCCCACGCACCUCCAGCUCCACAUCAGAAUGUGUUGCUAGACGUCAUUGUCAUGGUGGCAGGAGGAAUUUGUUAAACUUCAAAGGAAUGCCUGUUUGUCAUAAAGCCUUUAAAACAAGAAGAUGGCAUCUCCUAUGUGGGAGGAGUGAGGUUUGAUCCUGCGGAAAAUAAACUUAGCUGACAUUUUCGAGUGCGUCUUGUGUUCUGGGCUGUCCUUGCGACAGUGUCUUGGCAGGUAGUACUAUAGUCACUCCUUUAACGUGGGGACACCCGAGUUUGGAUAACGUGAGCAGUGUGCUGGAGGUCAGUCGGCAGGGGGCAGAGUUGGAUUUGAAGGUGAGGUCGUGUUUGUGGGGCCACUGUUUUUAAUCACGGUACUAGAGGCACCACAGAGAGUGUAGAGAAAACAGAACCGCAAGGCCUGAGUGCCUUAAAGAGAGGUUUUCAGAAUCAGGACCCAGCAUGCUUAUUCUUGCUGCAGUGCCUUAACACGCUAAACAGCGCUUAACCGCGCUAAAACAUCCCAUGGGAAACUGUGACUGCAAGGCCCGGGGGAUGUUCCUUCUCAGCCCAUGCCCUGCCCAUGCCCCAAGUAAAAGCAGUUUUAGGGACCACUAGUGUCCCAGGAAUCAUGGUAUUAAAGAGUUGUUGGGUGUGGUGGCUCAUGCCUGUAAUCCCAGCUGCUUUGGAGGCUGAGGCAGGAGAAUCGCUGGAACCCAGGAGGCAGAGGCUGCAGUGAGCCGAGAUCGCGCCAUUGCACUCCAGCCUGGACAACAAGAGCCAAACUCCAAUUCAAAAAAAAAAAAAGUUAACCUUUCAAAGCAAGAUGGUUUUAGCCAUAAAUUUUCAUAGCAACAGAGGACAGCACAUACCAGUGACGGAACCGAUACUUUGAAUCAAGCCAGCCAGAGGGGUCUACACCCCCUUCCACUGCAGACACCAAAACACAGGGUGCCAUUCUCCAUUCCCUGCCAUUUACAAAGAAGAAUGGACAAAGUAAGUUUGAGGUUAACGAAAGCAGCCUCAGGAUGUUGAGUUCCUAGUCUCAGUUCAAACAGCUAUUUGUGUGAGGCUGGGCAAGUCGCUGGGGUGGGCCUCAAUCCCCUCAUCUGAUUUUACCUGAGGCGCCACCAACUCUAGGAAGUCUCCCAUGAUUGUCUAAGGCUGGGAUCCCUCCCUGUGUGGCCCUUACUCUCUUUUUACCUAAUUCCCUUCCUAAGAACGAGCUCCUUCCAGCUAAGAUAAGCUUUCUCAUGACUGCACCCCCUGUGUCUGGCAGAGGGGACAGCACCUGACAGAUGCCUGCCUUGGAGGCUGGGGCUGCCACAACAAAGAACCACAGCCUGGGGGCUUAAACACAGACGUGCAUUUCCUCACAGUGCUGGAGGCUGGAAGUCCAAGAUCAAGUGUGUCCUAGAGUGCAUGAAAGAAGCUGGAGAAAAAUCACCAUGGAGUUUAUCCUGGUUUUGCCUCUCAUGGAAAGAAGAGAGACAACUGAAGCCUCAAUCCAGAAACAGGUAAAUGUAUUACCUGCUUCAAACUGAUGGAUGGACAGACAGAAAGAGCAGCAAACCAACAAGCCUCCAGCUCUCAGGCCUCUCACCUCUGGCCUUGCAUUUUCUUAAGUGUGGGUCAGCGUUAUAAGGAAAUCAGACAAAAAUACAGGAGAUGGAGUUUUGCUCUGUCACCCAGGCUGGAGGGCAAUGACACCACCAUAGCUCACUGGAGCCUGGAGCUCCUGGGCUCACAUGAUCCUCCCACCUCAGCCUCCCAGGUAGCUGGGACUACAGCCACACACCACUGUGGUGGGCUCACAGGUGGUGUCAGGACUGAAGUGAACUCACUGUAGGACGCCCAGCUGGUUUCCAAGAAUUGGUCGAUGUGGGAGAAACGCCCCGCUUUGGUGUCAGAAGUGUUGUAUCCAAGGACCAGCCUCCGUAAGACCAGGACCCAAACUUCAGUUUGCAGUGCUGCACAUCAAAGGGAAACCAGCGUACAUCGAUGUAGCAGGAACUCUUGAAUAUGCCUGUGUGGGUGAUGGAAACAGAAGACUGAAACGGAAGCUGACUGAGAUGUGCUGAAAAUACACAGCAGUUCCUUCAGCCGGUUCCGCCCUCCGCACUGCAGCUAACACAGUCCAGAGCAAAUGGAAUCUGUCUUUUUAUUUAUUCGCAAAAUCUGUAAAACAGAAUCUCAGCUAAGCUUCACUGUCUUUUAAAAUCCAAACGUAACACUGACAUGCUCUCUCAAAGACUGUUUUGUGGGCUUUUUGUGCAAAAAGUUAGCUCUAUAAUCUGCAUUUACCAUGAGCAUCUUCAGACUCUAAAUAAUAAAAGUAAAGAAUGCAAAAUAUCUCAGAGAAGUUGAUAACCCUGAUGAUGAAGUUAGAAAUAGAAUCUAAAAGGUGUGUGUGUGUGUGUGUGUGUGUGUGUCUGUUUGGUGCGGGGUGAGGUAGGCAUUUUCUUUAGGUUAAAAAUGGGAAGAACACAUGAUUAUCGAGAAAUACAAUCUAGAAUUCUGGUUAAAGCUAGAAUUUUAACUAAUUUAAAUUCUAGAUGAAGAACAGAACAAGCUGGGCACAGUGUCUCAUGCCCGUAAUCCCAGUGACUCUAAGACAUUGACGUGGGAGGGUCACUUGAGACUAGGAGUUUGAGACCGGACUGGGCAACAUAGUGAGACAUCUCUAAUAAAAAAAAUUAGCUGGGUGAGGUGAUGCAUGCCUGUAGUCCCAGCUACUCAGAAGGCUAAGGCAGGAGCAUUGCUUGAGCCCAGGAGUUUGAGGCUAAAGUGAAGUGAGCUAUGAUCGAGCCCCUGCACUCCAGCCUGGGGAACACACCUAGAAUCUGUCUGUAAGAAAAAAAGUUAAAACAAACAAACAAACAAACAAACAAACAAAAACAAGAACAGAUAGAUAGGUUUAAGCUGAAGAGAUGGUGCUUGAAGGAAGAGUUUCCGCUGAAAAGAGCUAUUCCAGGCUAGGACAGGUUGGAAGUGGAUUUCCCAGAGGGCCAAGGGGAGGAAACCAGAUAGAGGCCACUCCAGUUAUUUACACUCAUGUGCUCUUCCCUGCCCAGAGGAAGGCUGCAUGGCACAAGAAGACAGGCACAGACUCGGUGUCCAGGUGUUCCUGGGGCAGGGCUGGCACUCUGCAAACUUCUGUUACUGAGUUACAGAAAGAGUGCACGCAGGAAGGGCCUCCACAGCCUUGCACACAAGGACCCCACCCCACAACCGAGUUGGGAAAAGAUACACAUUUUGUCCCCUGAAGUUCCUUUAAGUAUGCUUUGCGUCCUUACAUGAAAUGUUUAUAGGAAUCUGGAAUCAUCACAGACAAUCCCCCUCCAUUAAUAGUUGGAUCCCCCCAAAACCCACCUUGUCUGCCAGUUAGUUGGAAAGCUUUGUAACUUCAUGAGCCCAUUUCUACGAAAUAAUGGCCCGAGACAGACAGAGAAUUUCUAGAGACAGAAAGCAGAUCAGUGGUUGCUGGGAGUAGGAAUGGGAAUUAACUGCAAACAAGCAAAAGGGAUCUUUGUGGGGUGAUGGGAAUGUUCUAAAACUAGACUGUGGUAAUGGUUGCAUAAGUCUGUAAAUAUACUAAAAGUUGUUGAAUCAUGUACUUAAAAUGCAUGAUAUGUAAAUUCUCUCUCAAUAAAGCUGUUAAAAAAUAAA